CCUGCCAUUUAGAUCUUAAGUUCCCCACUCAAAGCAGCCUCUGGCAAUACGACAAAUGAAUUUAUAGCUGUUUGCUUAUGAAAUAACGCGCAUGUACAAGCAUACACAUGCAUUUCACCAAAGUAACUUAAAGAACAGAACAAAGGCAAGUAAAGUGUCCGACUUGCUAUGGAACAUAUCCUCCUAAAUCAUUUAAGCCUGAAAUACUGAAAAUAAUUCUAUGUAUACAAUUCUUGGUAGCUGCUAAACUGAGAGUUAUACUUUAAAAUGUUAUCCUGUUUUCCCACAGUUCAUACUCAUUUAUUUCACAUUUCUUGGCUGAGUUCUGUAGCUAGCAAAAAAGGCAUUACAAAAAUUAACUUCCUCUUGCACAACAAUUUCUGACAGGCUGGACUAUCUUCUACAGAUGGUAAGGCUGUGAGAUUUACACAUGGGUAAGGAUCAAGCUUUUUCAAGAUUUAAGCAGACUAAGGAUCAAGGAAAACUUCAGCGUGAGGAUGGCUAUACUCAUGUCAGAGAGUUUUUGCUGGCCUAGUUAACUCCACGGGGUGAAUGGCAUAAUCACCUUUAGUACACAGUCUACGCUGAGGGGCUCAGCACAGUUCUGACACUAUUGCUGAGCGCUGCACAUCCACAACAGAGCACUGCUAUCAACGGGAUGUUCACGGCUACAGAAGAAAUUUUAGUAAUGGAUCACACUGAUGAUACCCUUAAGUAUCACACAGAUGCAGACCUGAGACCUUAGACAGUUUGAACAUUUCUCACGAAUGACUGAAAAUACCUAGGUGGUCUGCAAGCACCUUCCUCAGCUGUAUUAUAUUCAACAGUGCAGUUAAAACAAUAGUUAAACAACUAAUCUAGCUAUGAAAAAAUCAAUUUAAAGCAGUAACAAUAACAUUUCAUGGUCUUUUUAUACUCUGUUAUAUUAUAGCAUAUUAAGGAGAUGCUCUACAACCAUCUUUGAAGAAGGGGCAGAAAAUCACAAUGCGCGUUGCUGUUUUGUUGUCUGUCCUUAAAAGACAUGUAAGCAAUCUAAAACCAUAUUCACCUGCCUUUCACUACUGCAGAUAGAAGCGACCACAACAAGAGAAUUUUCUGUAAAUAAAUACA
Dromaius novaehollandiae (emu) is the source of this 1110-nucleotide long non-coding RNA. RefSeq lists it as uncharacterized. The record is from RefSeq and is a predicted model, not a curated record. NCBI's taxonomy places the organism in Eukaryota, Metazoa, Chordata, Aves, Casuariiformes, Dromaiidae. The transcript is spliced from 3 exons.